RNAcentral lists this transfer RNA (56 nucleotides) under Hirudo nipponia. RNAcentral's name for it is "tRNA-Ser". Lineage: Eukaryota; Metazoa; Annelida; Clitellata; Hirudinida; Hirudinidae. The record is from RNAcentral.
AAGGAAUAUAUUAUUGGGCUUCUAACCUGAUAUAGAUGUUAAGUCAUUACUCCUUU